Molecule: ribosomal RNA, 253 nt
Filed under: uncultured bacterium
Lineage: Bacteria
Description: partial 16S ribosomal RNA
Rfam family: Bacterial small subunit ribosomal RNA
Source: RNAcentral
UACGGGGGGUGCGAGCGUUGUUCGGAUUCAUUGGGCGUAAAGGGUGCGUAGGCGGCGCGGUAAGUCGGGUGUGAAAUCUCGGAGCUUAACUCCGAAACUGCAUUCGAUACUGCCGUGCUUGAGGACUGGAGAGGAGACUGGAAUUUACGGUGUAGCGGUGAAAUGCGUAGAUAUCGUAAGGAAGACCAGUGGCGAAGGCGGGUCUCUGGACAGUUCCUGACGCUGAGGCACGAAGGCCAGGGGAGCAAACGGG